Molecule: ribosomal RNA, 492 nt
Filed under: uncultured bacterium
Lineage: Bacteria
Description: partial 16S ribosomal RNA
Rfam family: Bacterial small subunit ribosomal RNA
Source: RNAcentral
AGUGAACGCUGGCGGUAGGCCUAACACAUGCAAGUCGAACGGCAGCACAGUAAGAGCUUGCUCUUACGGGUGGCGAGUGGCGGACGGGUGAGGAAUACAUCGGAAUCUACUUUUUCGUGGGGGAUAACGUAGGGAAACUUACGCUAAUACCACAUACGACCUACGGGUGAAAGCAGGGGAUCUUCGGACCUUGCGCGAUUGAAUGAGCCGAUGUCGGAUUAGCUAGUUGGCGGGGUAAAGGCCCACCAAGGCGACGAUCCGUAGCUGGUCUGAGAGGAUGAUCAGCCACACUGGAACUGAGCCACGGUCCAGACUCCUACGGGAGGCAGCAGUGGGGAAUAUUGGACAAUGGGCGCAAGCCUGAUCCAGCCAUACCGCGUGGGUGAAGAAGGCCUUCGGGUUGUAAAGCCCUUUUGUUGGGAAAGAAAAGCAGCAGGUUAAUACCCCGCUGUUCUGACGGUACCCAAAGAAUAAGCACCGGCUAACUUCGUG